AUCAACUUUCGAUGGUAGGAUAGAGGCCUACCAUGGUGGUAACGGGUAACGGGGUGUUAGGGCACGACACCGGAGAGGGAGCCUGAGAAACGGCUACCACAUCCAAGGAUGGCAGCAGGCGCGCAAAUUACCCAAUCCCGACACGGGGAGGUAGUGACAAUAAAUAACAAUACGGGGUUCUUUCGGAUUUCGUAAUUGGAAUGAGUACAAUUUAAAUCUCUUAACGAGGAACAAUUGGAGGGCAAGUCUGGUGCCAGCAGCCGCGGUAAUUCCAGCUCCAAUAGCGUAUAUUAAAGUUGCUGCAGUUAAAAAGCUCGUAGUUGAAUUUCGGGACUAAUAUGUCGGUCGUGCCUCGGUACGUACUGGUAUUUUUGGUUUCUCCCUUCUGAUGAACCUUGAUGUCAUUAAUUUGGUGUCUUGGGAAAUCAGGACUGUUACUUUGAAAAAAUUAGAGUGUUUAAAGCAGGCUCACGCUUGAAUACAUUAGCAUGGGAUAAUGAAAUAGGACGUUUGAUUCUAUUUUGUUGGUUUCUAGGAUCGACGUAAUGAUUAAUAGGGAUAGUUGGGGGCAUUAGUAUUCAAUUGUCAGAGGUGAAAUUCUUGGAUUUAUUGAAGACUAACUACUGCGAAAGCAUUUGCCAAGGAUGUUUUCAUUAAUCAAGAACGAAAGUUAGGGGAUCGAAGACGAUCAGAUACCGUCGUAGUCUUAACCAUAAACUAUGCCGACUAGGGAUCGGAUGAUGUUGAUUUUUUAAUGACUCAUUCGGCGCCUUACGGGAAACCAAAGUGUUUGGGUUC
This 798-nucleotide ribosomal RNA is filed under the name uncultured Glomeromycotina. RNAcentral's name for it is "SSU rRNA". It matches the Rfam family "Eukaryotic small subunit ribosomal RNA", at positions 314 to 1114 of the family's 1831-position model. Lineage: Eukaryota; Fungi; Glomeromycota. The record is from RNAcentral.